ACGCCCAUCUCAGACACCUAAUAUUUCAGAACAGCGUCAACGGAACACUUUUAUGGAUCAAAAUCUACAUUUAUUUUUAGGAAAAGCAGUGAACAUGAAGCUUCUCUCUGUUUUGUUAUCAUCGUUAUGGUGUUUCCUCGACCAUGGUGUGUCUGGUGUUAUGGAUGAAGUGUCCUUGUUGGUGAAUGAGGGAGAGUCAGUCAUUCUUCACACUGGUGUUAAAACAGACCAACAAGAGAAGAUUAAAUGGUAUUUUAGUAGGACAUUCGCAUUGCUGAAAUCAGUGGAGAUCUCAGUUAUAUCUGUACAGAUGUUCAGUGUAAAAAUAGUGAUGAGAGGUUCAGAAACAGACUGAAGCUGGAUCAUCAGACUGGAUCUCUGACCAUCACAAACACCAGAACCACAGACGCAGGAGUUUAUAAACUAAAGAUCAUGAAAAAACAGAAAAGACAGCAACAAGAUCUUCAUUGUUUUUGUUCAUGGUUUUUUCAGUGUUGAUACACAUGAAGAAUCAGCGUUUGUCAUGGAGGGAGAUUCACAAUCUCUACACACUAAUGUUAAAACAAACCAACAAGAAAAGAUUAGAUGGU
Long non-coding RNA from Cyprinus carpio (common carp), 590 nucleotides. RefSeq lists it as uncharacterized. NCBI's taxonomy places the organism in Eukaryota, Metazoa, Chordata, Actinopteri, Cypriniformes, Cyprinidae. The transcript has 3 exons. The record is from RefSeq and is a predicted model, not a curated record.